Molecule: ribosomal RNA, 445 nt
Filed under: uncultured bacterium
Lineage: Bacteria
Description: partial 16S ribosomal RNA
Rfam family: Bacterial small subunit ribosomal RNA
Source: RNAcentral
GUGAGGAAUAUUGGUCAAUGGGCGGGAGCCUGAACCAGCCAAGUCGCGUGAAGGAAGAAGGAUCUAUGGUUCGUAAACUUCUUUUGCAGGGGAAUAAAGUGCAGGACGUGUCCUGUUUUGUAUGUACCCUGAGAAUAAGGAUCGGCUAACUCCGUGCCAGCAGCCGCGGUAAUACGGAGGAUCCGAGCGUUAUCCGGAUUUAUUGGGUUUAAAGGGUGCGUAGGUGGUUUGAUAAGUCAGCGGUGAAAGUUUGCAGCUUAACUGUAAAAAUGCCGUUGAAACUGUCGGACUUGAGUGUAAAUGAGGUAGGCGGAAUGCGUGGUGUAGCGGUGAAAUGCAUAGAUAUCACGCAGAACUCCGAUUGCGAAGGCAGCUUGCCAAGCCACAACUGACACUGAAGCACGAAAGCGUGGGGAUCAAACAGGAUUAGAAACCCGGGUAGUCC